CUGAAGUGCAUAUGAUCAAAAGAGUCUGUUUUGUAUGUCCAGACUCAUGAUGUGUGCCAAAUAAUGUUUCCAUCUACUUUCAGUAUGAUUAAAAUAUAAAUAUAGCUGUUUUGUUCUGGGUCACACUGACUGCUAUAAUUGGUGUUCAUUAAGUCGACAAAUGAUGUAGCAGUUUCUUGAAAUAUGAAUAAAAUAAUGAACCUAUUAAAAAUGAAAAGAUAAAUACAAUCUCUUGUGUCUGUAUUGUCAUAUAAUUAAUAUUUUAAUAUCAUGUAUUUAUUGGUAUUCAUUUGUAAUUUUCAGUGCAGGAAUCUUCUGCUAGCCAAAGAGUGGUUAAUACAAGUGUGAAGUCUAAAGGGAAGCGUACUUUGUUCCAACCAAGUGAGACGACACUUGCCCCUGCACCCAGUCAGACGACACUUGCCCCUGCACCCAGUCAGACGACACUUGCCCCUGCACCCAGUCAGACUACACAUGCCUCUGCCACUUUACCUCUAGAACAAACAGGAAAUGAAUCGAUUGAGCCAUUACCUGAGUUGUUACCUGUCACUUCAUCAGAACUUGCAGCAUCAUCUUCAGGAGACUCAGGUAUUUUAAUAUACAUGUAUAUGAACAAAUCUAACACUUGUUUUAUUACAGAAUUACUGAUGAUAGCGACAACAUUGAAUAGUUGAUGUAUCCGGGAAUCAGACUCACAAAUUCAAUGUUUCAAACUGUUCUGUGAAACCAAAGUAUAGUAAUGACCGUCUCAAGCUUGGGUUGAGAGGUGUUUUGUAAUCACUUUGUCUGUCUAUCAUUUUAUUCAUCUGUUCUUUUGUCCAUCUCACCUUUUUUUGUAACCCCAACUCCUCAUUCAUUUUUUGACGGAUUUGAUUCAAAUUUUCAGCAAUGACUGCCACUUAUGCCUAGUUGUGCAUGAACAAAAAUAGAUUUUCUUUGAACAGCUGUUCCAGAGUUAUGGGUCUUUUUUUCUUUUUGCGAUAUUCACAUAGUGCAAAAUAUUGUGACCUCCUUAUUAAUUAUUUAACGGAAUUAAAUCAGAUGUUCAGCAAUGACUACAAUUGAUCCCUAGAUGUGCAGCAACCAAAAAAAUAUGGAAUUGCUUCAGCUGUUCAAGAGUUUUGAUCUUUUAUUACCUCCUCAUUAAUUAUUUGACUGAAUUAAUUGAAAAUUUCAACAAUGACUA
Long non-coding RNA from Mercenaria mercenaria, 1186 nucleotides. RefSeq lists it as uncharacterized. The record is from RefSeq and is a predicted model, not a curated record. The transcript is spliced from 3 exons. Lineage: Eukaryota; Metazoa; Mollusca; Bivalvia; Venerida; Veneridae.